UACGUAGGGAGCGAGCGUUGUCCGGAUUCAUUGGGCGUAAAGGGUCCGUAGGCGGCUCAGCAAGUCGGGUGUGAAAUCUCCAGGCUCAACCUGGAGGGCCACUCGAUACUGCUGUGGCUUGAGUCCAGUAGGGGAGCAUGGAAUUCCCGGUGUAGCGGUGAAAUGCGCAGAUAUCGGGAGGAACACCAGUGGCGAAGGCGGUGCUCUGGGCGGAACUGACGCUGAUGGGACGAAAGCGUGGGUAG
RNAcentral lists this ribosomal RNA (245 nucleotides) under uncultured bacterium. RNAcentral's name for it is "partial 16S ribosomal RNA". It matches the Rfam family "Bacterial small subunit ribosomal RNA", at positions 524 to 768 of the family's 1533-position model. The record is from RNAcentral.